This 500-nucleotide ribosomal RNA is filed under the name uncultured bacterium. RNAcentral describes it as "partial 16S ribosomal RNA". It matches the Rfam family "Bacterial small subunit ribosomal RNA", at positions 30 to 523 of the family's 1533-position model. The record is from RNAcentral.
AUUGAACGCUGGCGGAAUGCUUUACACAUGCAAGUCGAACGGCAGCACGGACUUCGGUCUGGUGGCGAGUGGCGAACAGGUGAGUAAUGUAUCGGAACGUGCCCAGUCGGGGGGGAUAACGUAGUGAAAAUUACGCUAAUACCGCAUACGAUCUAUGGAUGAAAGCGGGGGAACGCAAGACCUCGCGCGAUUGGAGCGGCCGAUAUCAGAUUAGGUAGUUGGUGGGGUAAAGGCCCACCAAGCCAACGAUCUGUAGCUGGUCUGAGAGGACGACCAGCCACACUGGAACUGAGACACGGUCCAGACUCCUACGGGAGGCAGCAGUGGGGAAUUUUGGACAAUGGGCGAAAGCCUGAUCCAGCCAUUCCGCGUGCAGGAUGAAGGCCCUCGGGUUGUAAACUGCUUUUGUACAGAACGAAAAGGUUUCUACUAAUACUAGGAGCUCAUGACGGUACUGUAAGAAUAAGCACCGGCUAACUACGUGCCAGCAGCCGCAGUAA